GACGAACGCUGGCGGCGUGCUUAACACAUGCAAGUCGAACGAUGAAGCUGGAGCUUGCUCCGGUGGAUUAGUGGCGAACGGGUGAGUAACACGUGAGCAAUCUGCCCUUGACUCUGGGAUAACUGCGGGAAACUGUAGCUAAUACCGGAUACGAGGCUCGAAGGCAUCUUCGGGUCUGGAAAGAAUUUCGGUCAAGGAUGAGCUCGCGGCCUAUCAGCUUGUUGGUGAGGUGAUGGCUCACCAAGGCGACGACGGGUAGCCGGCCUGAGAGGGUGACCGGCCACACUGGGACUGAGACACGGCCCAGACUCCUACGGGAGGCAGCAGUGGGGAAUAUUGCACAAUGGGCGAAAGCCUGAUGCAGCAACGCCGCGUGAGGGAUGAAGGCCUUCGGGUUGUAAACCUCUUUUAGCGGGGGAGAAGCGAAAGUGACGGUACCUGCAGAAAAAGCACCGGCUAACUACGUGCCAGCCGCCGCGGUAA
RNAcentral lists this ribosomal RNA (483 nucleotides) under uncultured bacterium. RNAcentral describes it as "partial 16S ribosomal RNA". It matches the Rfam family "Bacterial small subunit ribosomal RNA", at positions 28 to 523 of the family's 1533-position model. The record is from RNAcentral.